GCCGUGGCUCAGUGGUAGAGCAUCUGCUUUGCACGUAAAAGGUCCCAGGUUCAAUCCCCGGCAUCUCCA
This 69-nucleotide transfer RNA is filed under the name Sphaerodactylus townsendi. RNAcentral describes it as "tRNA-Ala". It matches the Rfam family "tRNA". From Rfam's summary of the family: Transfer RNA (tRNA) molecules are approximately 80 nucleotides in length. Their secondary structure includes four short double-helical elements and three loops (D, anti-codon, and T loops). The record is from RNAcentral. Lineage: Eukaryota; Metazoa; Chordata; Lepidosauria; Squamata; Sphaerodactylidae.